This 79-nucleotide unclassified non-coding RNA is filed under the name Gillisia sp. Hel1_33_143. RNAcentral describes it as "Flavo-1 RNA". Lineage: Bacteria; Pseudomonadati; Bacteroidota; Flavobacteriia; Flavobacteriales; Flavobacteriaceae. The record is from RNAcentral.
UUUUUGCGUUAGGGAUAGUAGCGAAAAGCCCGCAGCGACUGCAGGGAGCGAGGACUUGAAGCACAUAGCCCGACCCGUA